Molecule: microRNA precursor, 109 nt
Filed under: Canis lupus familiaris (dog)
Lineage: Eukaryota; Metazoa; Chordata; Mammalia; Carnivora; Canidae
Description: microRNA mir-8811 (ENSCAFG00845019368.1)
Source: RNAcentral
CACAGCGAUCUCCACCUCCUCCGCAUCGUCGUCCUGCGUCAGCUGCUCCUGUGAGACACAGAGAGGUGAGGCUCAGCCGGGACACUCACGGGGAGGGGAGGGGGGGGAG